GAAGAGAGAAUUAUUUCAAGAUUUAGCUCCAUUGUUGUGGAAUUCUUUUCAUACUAUUGCUGCACUGUUACAGAACAAAAAGCCACAUUAUGACAAUAUGAUGAUGCAAAUGUUGAGUUAUAUCACCUCGCAAUCAGCCCAAUCUAGUAGUGAUCACUAAGCAUUAUUCUCAGUUUUGACUUCUCUUCUGAGAUUGAGAGUGAGAGAGUUCUGACUUAUUUGCUGAGAAAAACUGGGUCCAUUAUGGGCUUUGAAGUGAAGCUGUGGAGGUUUUGGAGUACUGGUUAAGGUUGAAGUUGAGGAUAUGGGACUAGGAAAGCGUGGAACUAUAGAAGUAGUUGCCAUUAUUAGUCAGUGUUUUUUUUUUUUUUUUUUUUUGAAUUUUGAAUUUUGAAGGGUGGGAUGAGAUAAUGAGAUGGAUUUGGUAUUGGUUCCCCUUCCACUCUCUUGAUAUAGUCUUAUCCAUGUUGGAUGAGAGCUGAUGAUGACUUUGUGAUU
Molecule: long non-coding RNA, 498 nt
Organism: Quercus robur (English oak)
Lineage: Eukaryota; Viridiplantae; Streptophyta; Magnoliopsida; Fagales; Fagaceae
Exons: 3
Source: RefSeq, a predicted model, not a curated record